GGAUGAGGGAAGCUUGCUUCCCGAUUUAGCGGCGGACGGGUGAGUAAUGCCUAGGAAUCUGCCUAUUAGUGGGGGAUAACGUUCCGAAAGGAACGCUAAUACCGCAUACGUCCUACGGGAGAAAGUGGGGGAUCUUCGGACCUCACGCUAAUAGAUGAGCCUAGGUCGGAUUAGCUAGUUGGUGGGGUAACGGCUCACCAAGGCGACGAUCCGUAGCUGGUCUGAGAGGAUGAUCAGCCACACUGGAACUGAGACACGGUCCAGACUCCUACGGGAGGCAGCAGUGGGGAAUAUUGGACAAUGGGCGAAAGCCUGAUCCAGCCAUGCCGCGUGUGUGAAGAAGGUCUUCGGAUUGUAAAGCACUUUAAGUUGGGAGGAAGGGUUGUAAGCUAAUAUCUUGCAGCUUUGACGUUACCAACAGAAUAAGCACCGGCUAACUCUGUGCCAGCAGCCGCGGUAAUACAGAGGGUGCAAGCGUUAAUCGGAAUUACUGG
This 494-nucleotide ribosomal RNA is filed under the name uncultured bacterium. RNAcentral's name for it is "bacterial SSU rRNA". It matches the Rfam family "Bacterial small subunit ribosomal RNA", at positions 68 to 557 of the family's 1533-position model. The record is from RNAcentral.